RNAcentral lists this ribosomal RNA (254 nucleotides) under uncultured bacterium. Its description in RNAcentral is "partial 16S ribosomal RNA". It matches the Rfam family "Bacterial small subunit ribosomal RNA", at positions 524 to 776 of the family's 1533-position model. The record is from RNAcentral.
UACGGGGGGAGCAAGCGUUGUUCGGAUUUACUGGGCGUAAAGGGCGCGUAGGCGGCCACCGCAAGUCGACUGUGAAAUCUCCGGGCUUAACCCGGAAAGGUCAGCCGAUACUGCGGGGCUAGAGUGCAGAAGGGGCGACUGGAAUUCUCGGUGUAGCGGUGAAAUGCGUAGAUAUCGAGAGGAACACCUGCGGCGAAGGCGGGUUGCUGGGCUGAUACUGACGCUGAGGCGCGAAAGCCAGGGGAGCGAACAGG